This is a small nuclear RNA of Rhinopithecus bieti (black snub-nosed monkey), 83 nucleotides long. Its record names the gene U4. It matches the Rfam family "U4 spliceosomal RNA". Rfam says of the family: U4 small nuclear RNA (U4 snRNA) is a component of the major U2-dependent spliceosome. Lineage: Eukaryota; Metazoa; Chordata; Mammalia; Primates; Cercopithecidae. The record is from Ensembl.
AGCUUUGCACAGUGGCAGUAUCAUAGCCAAUGAGGUUUAUCCGAGGUGCGAUUAUUGCUAAUUGAAAACAAAACAUAAGCCAU